CGUAGGUGACCCGCUGAGUUUAAGCAUAAGGUUUCCGUAGGUGAACCUGGUGGGCUUAAAGCAACCGUUCCAGUCGUUGCCUCAUCUCCCUGGGUGGGGGGCACGAUGAAGUUCGGAUGAAACUCGAGCCGGCGCAAUUCCGCGCCAAGUGAAUGUGCAAAAUGAGCCCUACACCGGGUUUAGUAGCGUGGGGUGCUGUCGCACACCACGUGGAUUAACACGACUCUCGGCAAUGGAUAUCUCGGCUCUCGCAUCGAUGAAGAGCGCAGCGAAAUGCGAUACGUGGUGUGAAUUGCAGAAUCCCGCGAACCAUCGAGUCUUUGAACGCAAGUUGCGCCCGAGGCCAACCGGCCAAGGGCACGUCUGCCUGGGCGUCAAGCGCUGCGUCGCUCCGUGCCAACGCAUCAUCCCGCCAACGGGUGUGUGGGGCCAAGGCUCGGAUGUGCAGAGUGGCUCGCCGUGCCCGUUUGGUGCGCGGCGGGCUGAAGAGCGGGUUACCGUCUCAUUGGCCACGAUCGAUAAAGGGGUGGAUAAAAGCUGUGAGCGAGGCUUACGUUGUCUCAUGCUGGCCUGAGAAGGCUUAUACAUUCCAGGUGAUCCCAACCCAUGCGCCGAUCCACAGGCGGCGGCUUGGACUGCGACCCCAGGAUGGGCGAGGCCACCCGCUG
This 668-nucleotide ribosomal RNA is filed under the name Tropidia polystachya. RNAcentral's name for it is "eukaryotic LSU rRNA". The stretch from base 222 to 377 matches the Rfam family "5.8S ribosomal RNA". The record is from RNAcentral. Lineage: Eukaryota; Viridiplantae; Streptophyta; Magnoliopsida; Asparagales; Orchidaceae.